UACAGAGGUCUCAAGCGUUGUUCGGAUUCAUUGGCGUAAAGGGUGCGUAGGCGGCGCGGUAAGUCGGGUGUGAAAUCUCGGAGCUUAACUUCGAAACUGCAUUCGAUACUGCCGUGCUUGAGGACUGGAGAGGAGACUGGAAUUUACGGUGUAGCGGUGAAUGCGUAGAUAUCGUAAGGAAGACCAGUGGCGAAGGCGGGUCUCUGGACAGUUCCUGACGCUGAGGCACGAAGGCCAGGGGAGCAAACGGG
RNAcentral lists this ribosomal RNA (251 nucleotides) under uncultured bacterium. RNAcentral's name for it is "partial 16S ribosomal RNA". It matches the Rfam family "Bacterial small subunit ribosomal RNA", at positions 524 to 776 of the family's 1533-position model. The record is from RNAcentral.